UUCGCCCUUAGAGUUUGAUCCUGGCUCAGAACGAACGCUGGCGGCAGGCUUAACACAUGCAAGUCGAGCGAUCCCUUCGGGGAUAGCGGCAGACGGGUGAGUAACGCGUGGGAACUUGCCCAGGGGUACGGAAUAACUCAGGGAAACUUGAGCUAAUACCGUAUACGUCCUGAGGGAGAAAGAUUUAUCGCCCUUGGAUGGGCCCGCGUUGGAUUAGCUUGUUGGUGGGGUAACGGCCUACCAAGGCGACGAUCCAUAGCUGUUCUGAGAGGAAGAUCAGCCACACUGGGACUGAGACACGGCCCAGACUCCUACGGGAGGCAGCAGUGGGGAAUCUUGGACAAUGGGCGCAAGCCUGAUCCAGCCAUGCCGCGUGAGUGAUGAAGGCCCUAGGGUUGUAAAGCUCUUUCACCGGUGACGAUAAUGACGGUAACCGGAGAAGAAGCCCCGGCUAACUUCGUGCCAGCAGCCGCGGUAAUACGAAUGGGGCUAGCGUUGUUCGGAAUUACUGGG
RNAcentral lists this ribosomal RNA (513 nucleotides) under uncultured organism. Its description in RNAcentral is "bacterial SSU rRNA". It matches the Rfam family "Bacterial small subunit ribosomal RNA", at positions 1 to 558 of the family's 1533-position model. The record is from RNAcentral.